UGCAGGAGCUGGUGGGGCGGCUUAAGCGAGGGCGGGAGCAGGAGUAGCUGCAUUGGCUUAGGGAGCAACUUUGAGAUAGAAUUUAAAGUUAGGAUUUAUGAGGUAGUUUGGACAUUGUAUCUUCAUAGUUAAUCUCGGCAUGGAUUUAUAGUUUUCUUCCAUCUUUUCCUCAAUUGCACCCUCAAACUUAGGUUUCUUGCAUGAACGUAGUCCAUAUAAGCGAUAAAAGGUUGUGUAUCGCACAAGUCCUAAGCUUUUUAAUGGUUUAAUGGCAGGCCAUGUAUCAGCAAUUGAGGUUGGAGCCAUACGCAGUGCAUACCAAAGUUUGUGGUUCUUGUUUGUUGUUACACACCAAAGUUUCCAGCUUUAAACAUUGUGGCACCUUUGUAUAUCAUUUCUUCAUAUUUUCAUUUCCUCAUAUUAGCAUUCUGGAGUUUGCAUAAGAGUUGAUUGAGCUAUUGGCAGACCCCAAUAUGAAAGUUAAAAAAAA
RNAcentral lists this long non-coding RNA (490 nucleotides) under Prunus dulcis (almond). RNAcentral's name for it is "sRNA ncRNA". Lineage: Eukaryota; Viridiplantae; Streptophyta; Magnoliopsida; Rosales; Rosaceae. The record is from RNAcentral.